CUUAAAGCCAUAUGCGAGUCAAGGAGUCUCAAGACGUCGGCAUACGGCUCAGUAACACGUAGGUAACCUACCCUCAGGACGGAGAUAACCCCGGGAAACUGGGGCUAAUAUCCCAUAGAUAAAAGAUACUGGAAUGCUCUCUAUUCAAAGCUUUGCGCCGCAGGAUGGGUCUGCGUCCGAUUAGGUUGUUGGUGGGGUAAUGGCCCAACAGCCUGCGAUCGGUACGGGCAGUGGGAGCGAAGCCCGGAGUUGGGGAUUUAGACAAGGCACCAGGCCCUUCGGGGCGCCGCAGGCGCGAAACAUCUGCAAUGCGGGAAACUGUGACAGAGGGAUCCCAAGUGCUCAUGCAUUGCGUGGGGUGUUCCAUGGUCUAAGUAACCAGAGGAAUAAGGCGUGCACAAGACCGGUCCCAGCCGCCGCUAUAAUACCGGCAGCUCAAGUUGUACCCUCGUUUAUUGGGCAUAAAAUCUUUGUAGCCGGAUAAAUAUGUCUUGGGAAAAAUCUUGGGUCUCAACCGUGGGAAUUCUGGAGAUACUGCUUCUUUUGAGACCGGGAGAGGUAGGAGUUAUUCAUAGGGUAGGGGUGAAUUCCUGUAAUCCUAGGGGGACCCCCUGUGGGGAAGGCUUCCAAUUGGAACGGUUCUGACGGUGAGGGACGAAACCUAGGGGAGCGAGCCGGAUUAGAUACCCGGGUAGUCCUAGGCGUAAAUGAUGCGAGUUAAGUGUGGGGGCAUCCACGAGAUGGCCCUGUGCUGUAGGGUAGUCGUUAAACUUGCUGCCUGGGGAGUACGGUCGCAAGGCUGAAACUUAAAGGAAUUGGCGGGGGAGCACCACAACAGGUGGAGGCUGCGGUUUAAUCGGACUCAACGCCGGAAAACUCAUCGGGAAAGACAGCAGAAUGAUAGCCAGGUUGAUGACUUUGCUUGACAAGCUGAGAGGAGGUGCAUGGCCGUCGUCAGUCGUACUAAGNUCU
RNAcentral lists this ribosomal RNA (972 nucleotides) under uncultured Methanomicrobiales archaeon. RNAcentral's name for it is "bacterial SSU rRNA". It matches the Rfam family "Archaeal small subunit ribosomal RNA", at positions 43 to 1025 of the family's 1478-position model. Lineage: Archaea; Methanobacteriati; Methanobacteriota; Methanomicrobia; Methanomicrobiales. The record is from RNAcentral.